GACGAAGGUGGCAAGCGUUACUCGGAAUUACUAGGCGUAAAGCGCGAGCAGGCGGUUCAGCAAGUCUGUCGUGAAAGCCCCGGGCUCAACCCGGGGAGGCCGAUGGAAACUGCUGGACUUGAAUACGGGAGAGGUCACUGGAAUUCCUGGUGUAGCGGUGAAAUGCGUAGAUAUCAGGAGGAACACCGAAGGCGAAAGCAGGUGACUGGACCGUUAUUGACGCUGAGUCGCGAAAGCUAGGGGAGCAAAC
This 250-nucleotide ribosomal RNA is filed under the name uncultured bacterium. Its description in RNAcentral is "partial 16S ribosomal RNA". It matches the Rfam family "Bacterial small subunit ribosomal RNA", at positions 524 to 773 of the family's 1533-position model. The record is from RNAcentral.